RNAcentral lists this ribosomal RNA (468 nucleotides) under uncultured bacterium. Its description in RNAcentral is "partial 16S ribosomal RNA". It matches the Rfam family "Bacterial small subunit ribosomal RNA", at positions 28 to 507 of the family's 1533-position model. The record is from RNAcentral.
GACGAACGCUGGCGGCGUGCUUAACACAUGCAAGUCGAACGGAAAGGCCCUGCUUUUGUGGGGUGCUCGAGUGGCGAACGGGUGAGUAACACGUGAGUAACCUGCCCUUGACUUUGGGAUAACUUCAGGAAACUGGGGCUAAUACCGGAUAGGAGCUCCUGCUGCAUGGUGGUGGUUGGAAAGUUUCGGCGGUUGGGGAUGGACUCGCGGCUUAUCAGCUUGUGGGUGGGGGAGUGGCUUACCAAGGCUUUGACGGGUAGCCGGACUGAGAGGGUGACCGGCCACAUUGGGACUGAGAUACGGCCCAGACUGCUACGGGAGGCAGCAGUGGGGAAUAUUGCACAAUGGGCGGAAGCCUGAUGCAGCAACGCCGCGUGCGGGAUGACGGCCUUCGGGUUGUAAACCGCUUUCGCCUGUGACGAAGCGUGAGUGACGGUAAUGGGUAAAGAAGCACCGGCUAACUACGUG